This 446-nucleotide ribosomal RNA is filed under the name uncultured Anaerolineaceae bacterium. RNAcentral describes it as "bacterial SSU rRNA". It matches the Rfam family "Bacterial small subunit ribosomal RNA", at positions 924 to 1382 of the family's 1533-position model. Lineage: Bacteria; Bacillati; Chloroflexota; Anaerolineae; Anaerolineales; Anaerolineaceae. The record is from RNAcentral.
CACAAGCAGCGGAGCGUGUGGUUUAAUUCGUUGCUACACGAAGAACCUUACCUGGGUUUGACAUAUAGGUUGUAGGGAACUGAAAAGGGACCGACCCUUCGGGGAGCCUAUACAGGUUGUUGCAUGGCUGUCGUCAGCUCGUGUCGUGAGAUGUUCGGUUAAGUCCGCUAACGAGCGCAACCCUCGUCGUAUGUUAUAUGUGUCAUACGAGACUGCCGGUAAAAAGCCGGAGGAAGGUGAGGAUGAUGUCAAGUCAGCAUGACCUUUAUAUCCAGGGCUACACACACGCUACAAUGGUCUGUACAAUGGGUAGCCAAGCCGCGAGGCGGAGCCAAUCCUGAAAGCAGGUCUCAGUUCAGAUUGCAGUCUGCAACUCGACUGCAUGAAGCCGGAGUUGCUAGUAACCGCAGGUCAGCAAUACUGCGGUGAAUACGUUCCCGGGUCUU